AACGAACGCUGGCGGCAGGCUUAACACAUGCAAGUCGAACGCCCCGCAAGGGGAGUGGCAGACGGGUGAGUAACGCGUGGGAACAUACCCUUUCCUGCGGAAUAGCUCCGGGAAACUGGAAUUAAUACCGCAUACGCCCUACGGGGGAAAGAUUUAUCGGGGAAGGAUUGGCCCGCGUUGGAUUAGCUAGUUGGUGGGGUAAAGGCCUACCAAGGCGACGAUCCAUAGCUGGUCUGAGAGGAUGAUCAGCCACAUUGGGACUGAGACACGGCCCAAACUCCUACGGGAGGCAGCAGUGGGGAAUAUUGGACAAUGGGCGCAAGCCUGAUACAGCCAUGCCGCGUGAGUGAUGAAGGCCUUAGGGUUGUAAAGCUCUUUCACCGAUGAAGAUAAUGACGGUAGUCGGAGAAGAAGCCCCGGCUAACUUCGUG
Molecule: ribosomal RNA, 431 nt
Filed under: uncultured bacterium
Lineage: Bacteria
Description: partial 16S ribosomal RNA
Rfam family: Bacterial small subunit ribosomal RNA
Source: RNAcentral